This 97-nucleotide ribosomal RNA is filed under the name Gomphrena mandonii. RNAcentral describes it as "partial 5.8S ribosomal RNA". It matches the Rfam family "5.8S ribosomal RNA", at positions 62 to 154 of the family's 154-position model. From Rfam's summary of the family: 5.8S ribosomal RNA (5.8S rRNA) is a component of the large subunit of the eukaryotic ribosome. Lineage: Eukaryota; Viridiplantae; Streptophyta; Magnoliopsida; Caryophyllales; Amaranthaceae. The record is from RNAcentral.
UUGGUGUGAAUUGCAGAAUCCCGUGAACCAUCGAGUUUUUGAACGCAAGUUGCGCCCGAAGCCUUCUGGCCAGGGCACGUCUGCCUGGGCGUCACGC